AACGAACGCUGGCGGCAUGCCUAACACAUGCAAGUCGAACGAGACCUUCGGGCCUAGUGGCGCACGGGUGCGUAACGCGUGGGAACCUGCCCUUAGGUUCGGAAUAACUCCCCGAAAGGGGUGCUAAUACCGGAUCAUGUCUUCCGACCAAAGAUUUAUCGCCUUUGGAUGGGCCUGCGUUGGAUUAGCUAGUUGGUAGGGUAAAAGCCUACCACGGCGACGAUCCAUAGCUGGUCUGAGAGGAAGAGCAGCCACACUGGGACUGAGACACGGCCCAGACUCCUACGGGAGGCAGCAGUGGGGAAUAUUGGACAAUGGGCGAAAGCCUGAUCCAGCAAUGACGCGUGAGUGAUGAAGGCCUUAGGGUUGUAAAGCUCUUUUACCCGGGAUGAUAAUGACAGUACCGGGAGAAUAAGCACCGGCUAACUCCGUG
RNAcentral lists this ribosomal RNA (433 nucleotides) under uncultured bacterium. Its description in RNAcentral is "partial 16S ribosomal RNA". It matches the Rfam family "Bacterial small subunit ribosomal RNA", at positions 29 to 507 of the family's 1533-position model. The record is from RNAcentral.